Molecule: transfer RNA, 78 nt
Filed under: Parcubacteria group bacterium QH_9_35_7
Lineage: Bacteria
Description: tRNA-Val
Rfam family: tRNA
About the family: Transfer RNA (tRNA) molecules are approximately 80 nucleotides in length. Their secondary structure includes four short double-helical elements and three loops (D, anti-codon, and T loops).
Source: RNAcentral
GGGCUUGUAGCUCAGUCCGGUUAGAGCGUCUGCCCGACACGCAGAAGGUCCCUGGUUCGAAUCCAGGCGAGCCCACUA